Molecule: ribosomal RNA, 304 nt
Filed under: uncultured bacterium
Lineage: Bacteria
Description: bacterial SSU rRNA
Rfam family: Bacterial small subunit ribosomal RNA
Source: RNAcentral
GAUGAUCGCUGGCGGCGUGCCUAAGACAUGCAAUUCGAGCGAGAAGCUAACUUCUGAUUCCUUCGGGAUGAUGCGGUUAGCAGAAAGUGGCGAACGGGUGAGUAACGCGUGGGUAAUCUACCCUGUUUAAGUGGGGGAUAACCUUCCGAAAGGAGGGCUAAUACCGCAUAAUAUCUUUCCCUCAUAAAGGAGAUAACAUUAGAGAUGGCCUCUAUUCUAUGCUAUCGCUUCAGGAUGAGUCUGCGUCCUAUUACUUAGGUGGUGGGGUAAUGGACUACCUUGACCACAAUGGGUAGCCGGUCUG